UCUGGAGACAGGUGCUGCAUGGCUGUCGUCAGCUCGUGUCGUGAGAUGUUGGGUUAAGUCCCGCAACGAGCGCAACCCUUGCCUUUAGUUGCCAGCAGUUCGGCUGGGCACUCUAAAGGGACUGCCGGUGUUAAACCGGAGGAAGUGGGGGAUGACGUCAAGUCCUCAUGGCCUUUAUGACCAGGGCUACACACGUACUACAAUGGCCGAUACAAAGGGCAGCGACACUGCGAGGUGAAGCCAAUCCCGUAAAAUCGGUCUCAGUCCGGAUUGGAGUCUGCAACUCGACUCCAUGAAGUUGGAAUCGCUAGUAAUCGUGGAUCAGCAUGCCACGGUGAAUACGUUCCCGGGCCUU
This 355-nucleotide ribosomal RNA is filed under the name uncultured Desulfobulbus sp. Its description in RNAcentral is "bacterial SSU rRNA". It matches the Rfam family "Bacterial small subunit ribosomal RNA", at positions 1027 to 1382 of the family's 1533-position model. Lineage: Bacteria; Pseudomonadati; Thermodesulfobacteriota; Desulfobulbia; Desulfobulbales; Desulfobulbaceae. The record is from RNAcentral.